Equus caballus (horse) is the source of this 1768-nucleotide long non-coding RNA. Lineage: Eukaryota; Metazoa; Chordata; Mammalia; Perissodactyla; Equidae. The record is from Ensembl.
UUUAUAGACAGGAGAACUGAGGCUUGGGGGGGGGGCAUAACUUCCGGAAGGGCACAAAGCUAAAAAGUGGUAGGUGCGGAAUUUGAACCCAGGUCUUUGAGAUGCCCCAGUCCCUCCUCUCACAAGAAAGCACCUGAGCUUCCCACUUUCUGAUUGACGUGGCAGGGUUGGUUGGUUACAUCCGAAUCACCUGGGAGCUUUAAACUUCCUAUUGCUGGGCCCACCUGGUGAUUCUGAUUAAGCCGUUUUAGAGCGGAGCCCCUGAAUCUCCUUGACUCCAUCCUACCCGGAAGAGCAGAUAUCCCGUAAGUGCCAAGUUUCUUCCGCUGUCUGCAGCUGACCGUGAUGUCUUCUAGCUGGCAGCCCACCCUCUCCCACAGACCCCCAGCCAAAUCCCCAAGUGUAUUUCAGAAUCUGUGCACAGCUCCUUUAAGAAUGAGAAGAAGACAGCAGAGGAGCAAGUGUGGCCAAAGGGCUGUUAGCUGGACCAUCUCCUUCUGCGGCAUCUGGUCUGAGCUCCCCUCCGCCUGUGGGACCCACCUGUCACUCUCUGAGGAUUCUCUGAAGUCAGAUCCACCUUUAGGUUCUGCCCUUUUCCCUGAGCUCGUCCUUGGUCUUUGCUCUGUUGACUUGCGCCUCUUUGACCGCAGACACGUGCAGGCCUCUGCCCUGGCCCAUCUCUCCUGCAGUCCUGAUCUGGACAACUGUUGGCUCCACUCUGUCCCCUGCUUCUGUCUGAGCCAGUGCUUGUUAACAGGUCUUUCGUGUGGCUCCUUCUUUCAUAUUUUAUGGCACUCCUUUCCUGAACUUGGCACCAAGUCCCUCUGGAACUGUCCUGGGAGAUAAUACAAUGUCACUGCUAAGGGCAACAACCGAUUGUCCCUCUUCUUCAAUGAUCUACCAGUGUCCGCGAGCUGAACUCUCUCUCCGCUGGGGGAAGUCAAUGGAGGUCACUGCCCGAGAGAUUGAGGGUCAGUCUUUGUCUGCCUUCUUGACAGCUCCAAAAGUCUCAUGUUUCUGAUGAGAUCUGCUGAAGCUUUAUGGAGAGAAAAACCCAAGUGGUUCAAGCCGGCGUGCCUGGAUUCCCCUGGAAACAGCAGGAAUGCCCUUUCUGGGGGCUGUUAUUUGUUAAAAUCGGUUACAGUGCAUUCCAGGAGAGACGUUCCAAAAAAUGCAGGAGCAAUGACAGCCUUGCCGGAAUAGGAGCGAGAACAUGGAACGUGGAGUCAGUCAACCCAAGUUUCAAUGGGCAGAGGCAGCUCCUCACUUUCCAAAUGAACAACCUUGUGCAAGUCAUCAAAACUCCCCGAGCCUUCGCUUCUUCAUCUAUAAAAUGAGGAUGAAAAGAAGACCUUUCUGAUGGUGCUGGUUUGAAGAUCAAAUAAAAUAAUGAAUGUGAAAGUGUAUUGUGAAAUGUCAGGCGCUUUUUAAUGUUAACUAUUAAUAGUAAUGUGUAUUAUUAUUAGUCUAUGAUUCCACUGAACACUUUAGCAACAAAGAACAGAAACUCUGACUCAGACUGGCUUAACAACAGGGAAACUUAUUAUCUCCUGUAACAGGAGAUUCAAAGGUAGAUGAGGCUUCAGGGCUGGUGGGCUCAGGUCUCAGGUGCGUCUUCAGCGCCCAGGUUCUUUUUCUCUCCCUCUUCGGCCAUCCUGGGUUAUCAGCUUUAUCUUCAGCCUGGUCUAAGAUGGCUUAGCAAAUUCAGGCAUCACCGGUAGACACAGCACUAUUCUGCGGAGGGAGAGAGACUCUCCCUGUAGCUCUC